GACGAACGCUGGCGGCGUGCUUAACACAUGCAAGUCGAACGGAAAGGCCCUGCUUUUGUGGGGUGCUCGAGUGGCGAACGGGUGAGUAACACGUGAGUAACCUGCCCUUGACUUUGGGAUAACUUCAGGAAACUGGGGCUAAUACCGGAUAGGAGCUCCUGCUGCAUGGUGGGGGUUGGAAAGUUUCGGCGGUUGGGGAUGGACUCGCGGCUUAUCAGCUUGUUGGUGGGGUAGUGGCUUACCAAGGCUUUGACGGGUAGCCGGCCUGAGAGGGUGACCGGCCACGUUGCGACUGGGAUACGGCCCAGACUCCUACGGGAGGCAGCGGUGGGGAAUAUUGCACAGUGGGCGGAAGCCUGAUGCAGCAACGCCGCGUGCGGUAUGACGGCCUUCGGGUUGUAUACCGCUUUCGCCUGUGACGAAGCGUGAGUGACGGUAAUGGGUGAAGAAGCACCGGCUAACUACGUG
Molecule: ribosomal RNA, 468 nt
Filed under: uncultured bacterium
Lineage: Bacteria
Description: partial 16S ribosomal RNA
Rfam family: Bacterial small subunit ribosomal RNA
Source: RNAcentral